UUUUAUUUGAGAGUUUGAUCCUGGCUCAGGAUGAACGCUGGCGGCGUGCCUAACACAUGCAAGUUGAGCGAUUUACUUCGGUAAAGAGCGGCGGACGGGUGAGUAACGCGUGGGUAACCUACCCUGUACACACGGAUAACAUACCGAAAGGUAUGCUAAUACGGGAUAAUAUAUUUGAGAGGCAUCUCUUAAAUAUCAAAGGUGAGCCAGUACAGGAUGGACCCGCGUCUGAUUAGCUAGUUGGUAAGGUAACGGCUUACCAAGGCGACGAUCAGUAGCCGACCUGAGAGGGUGAUCGGCCACAUUGGAACUGAGACACGGUCCAAACUCCUACGGGAGGCAGCAGUGGGGAAUAUUGCACAAUGGGCGAAAGCCUGAUGCAGCAACGCCGCGUGAGUGAUGAAGGCCUUCGGGUCGUAAAACUCUGUC
This 429-nucleotide ribosomal RNA is filed under the name Clostridioides difficile. RNAcentral's name for it is "bacterial SSU rRNA". It matches the Rfam family "Bacterial small subunit ribosomal RNA", at positions 1 to 437 of the family's 1533-position model. The record is from RNAcentral. Lineage: Bacteria; Bacillati; Bacillota; Clostridia; Peptostreptococcales; Peptostreptococcaceae.